RNAcentral lists this transfer RNA (146 nucleotides) under Polyangiaceae bacterium LLY-WYZ-15_(1-7). Its description in RNAcentral is "tRNA-OTHER". It matches the Rfam family "tRNA". From Rfam's summary of the family: Transfer RNA (tRNA) molecules are approximately 80 nucleotides in length. Their secondary structure includes four short double-helical elements and three loops (D, anti-codon, and T loops). Lineage: Bacteria; Pseudomonadati; Myxococcota; Polyangiales; Polyangiaceae. The record is from RNAcentral.
GCUGCUGUAGCUCAGUGGGUAGAGCGCCGUGAAUGCAUCGCUUCCGUGACUCGCGCGGCUCGACCGCGCCCCGAUGGCCGAAGCGUACACACACAAUCGGGUUCAUCACCCGGAGGUCGUAGGUUCGAAUCCUACCAGCAGCCCCA